ACCCGAUGCAAACUGCGAAUACCGGAGAAUGUUAUCACGGGAGACACACGGCGGGUGCUAACGUCCGUCGUGAAGAGGGAAACAACCCAGACCGCCAGCUAAGGUCCCAAAGUCAUGGUUAAGUGGGAAACGAUGUGGGAAGGCCCAGACAGCCAGGAUGUUGGCUUAGAAGCAGCCAUCAUUUAAAGAAAGCGUAAUAGCUCACUGGUCGAGUCGGCCUGCGCGGAAGAUGUAACGGGGCUAAACCAU
Molecule: ribosomal RNA, 249 nt
Filed under: Salmonella enterica subsp. enterica serovar Braenderup
Lineage: Bacteria; Pseudomonadati; Pseudomonadota; Gammaproteobacteria; Enterobacterales; Enterobacteriaceae
Description: partial 23S ribosomal RNA
Rfam family: Bacterial large subunit ribosomal RNA
Source: RNAcentral